This 324-nucleotide unclassified non-coding RNA is filed under the name soil metagenome. Its description in RNAcentral is "partial contains 5.8S ribosomal RNA, internal transcribed spacer 2, and large subunit ribosomal RNA". The stretch from base 1 to 120 matches the Rfam family "5.8S ribosomal RNA", at positions 35 to 154 of the family's 154-position model. The record is from RNAcentral.
GAUGAAGAACGUAGCGAAAUGCGAUAAGUAGUGUGUAUUGCAGAAUUCAGUGAAUCAUCGAAUCUUUGAACGCACAUUGCGCCCCUUGGUAUUCCAUGGGGCAUGCCUGUUCGAGCGUCAUUUGUACCUUCAAGCUUUGCUUGGUGUUGGGUGUUUGUCCCUCGGGACUCGCCUUAAAGUCAUUGGCAGCCAGUGUUUUGGUUUUGAAGCGCAGCACAAGUCGCGAUUCAAGGCUAUCCGCCCGCUUCCACAAGCCUUUUUCACUUUUGACCUCGGAUCAGGUAGGGAUACCCGCUGAACUUAAGCAUAUCAAUAAGCGGAGGA